AUCUUGAAGCCGUUGUCCCAGUAAGCGAGACCCUUGAUGCCCUUCGGCUCAAGCUUGGCAAGAAGGUUUUGCCCGAUCGGCCCCUUGGUGAUGCGGCCCAGAGCCGCCUUGUCCGGAAGGAUAUAAGGGAGAUCGAACACUUCGANNNNNNNNNNCCUGACGCCCAGCGGGCCGAACUUGGCGAGCGAUGGCGCCAGCAUCUGCACGGCGCCGAGU
This 216-nucleotide unclassified non-coding RNA is filed under the name Hevea brasiliensis (rubber tree). Lineage: Eukaryota; Viridiplantae; Streptophyta; Magnoliopsida; Malpighiales; Euphorbiaceae. The record is from RNAcentral.